CCGUGCUAGGCGGGGAGAUAGCGGUGCCCUGUACCCGCAAUCCGCUAUAGCGGGGCCGAAGUCCUGCCCGAGGGUGUCCGCCUUCGGGGUCCGGCUUCAGUUAGACGACGUUGAGGAUUGGGUCUUGCGCAACAAGAGGCUACGAACCCCGUCAGGUUCGGAAGGAAGCAGCGGUAAGUAGUUGUCUUGGGUGCCGCAAGGGCGCCUGGUCUGAGUUGGCUGCUGAAGAAUCGCCCGAGGGUUCCAUUCGACGGCAGGUGCACGG
Molecule: signal recognition particle RNA, 265 nt
Filed under: Bacillota bacterium
Lineage: Bacteria; Bacillati; Bacillota
Description: Firmicutes bacterium (anaerobic digester metagenome) signal recognition particle sRNA large type
Rfam family: Bacterial large signal recognition particle RNA
About the family: The signal recognition particle (SRP) is a universally conserved ribonucleoprotein involved in the co-translational targeting of proteins to membranes. Archaeal SRP consists of a 7S RNA and homologues of the eukaryotic SRP19 and SRP54 proteins.
Source: RNAcentral